UAGGGAAUAUUGCGCAAUGGGCGAAAGCGUGACGCAGCAAUCCCGCGUGGUGGAUGAAGGAUUUCGGUCUGUAAACACCUGUCGGUGGGGAAGAUAAUGACGGUACCCACAGAGGAAGCACCGGCUAACUACGUG
Molecule: ribosomal RNA, 135 nt
Filed under: uncultured bacterium
Lineage: Bacteria
Description: partial 16S ribosomal RNA
Rfam family: Bacterial small subunit ribosomal RNA
Source: RNAcentral